This 497-nucleotide ribosomal RNA is filed under the name uncultured bacterium. Its description in RNAcentral is "partial 16S ribosomal RNA". It matches the Rfam family "Bacterial small subunit ribosomal RNA", at positions 28 to 507 of the family's 1533-position model. The record is from RNAcentral.
GAUGAACGCUGGCGGCGUGCCUAAUACAUGCAAGUCGAGCGAACGGACGAGAAGCUUGCUUCUCUGAUGUUAGCGGCGGACGGGUGAGUAACACGUGGAUAACCUACCUAUAAGACUGGGAUAACUUCGGGAAACCGGAGCUAAUACCGGAUAAUAUUUUGAACCGCAUGGUUCAACAGUGAAAGACGGUCUUGCUGUCACUUAUAGAUGGAUCCGCGCUGCAUUAGCUAGUUGGUAAGGUAACGGCUUACCAAGGCAACGAUGCAUAGCCGACCUGAGAGGAUGAUCGGCCACACUGGAACUGAGACACGGUCCAGACUCCUACGGGAGGCAGCAGUAGGGAAUCUUCCGCAAUGGGCGAAAGCCUGACGGAGCAACGCCGCGUGAGUGAUGAAGGUCUUCGGAUCGUAAAGCUCUGUUAUUAGGGAAGAACAUAUGUGUAAGUAACUGUGCACAUCUUGACGGUACCUAAUCAGAAAGCCACGGCUAACUACGUG